AGGAUGAACGCUGGCGGCGUGCUUAACACAUGCAAGUCGAACGAACACUUUCGGGUGUGAGUGGCGGACGGGUGAGUAACGCGUGAGGAUCUGCCUACAGGACCGGGACAACAGUGGGAAACUGCUGCUAAAACCGGAUGUGCCGAGAGGUGAAAUAUUAAUAGCCUGUAGAUGAACUCGCGUCUGAUUAGCUAGUUGGUGUGGUAAAGGCAUACCAAGGCGACGAUCAGUAGCUGGUCUGAGAGGACGAUCAGCCACACUGGGACUGAGACACGGCCCAGACUCCUACGGGAGGCAGCAGUGGGGAAUUUUCCGCAAUGGGCGAGAGCCUGACGGAGCAACGCCGCGUGAGGGAGGAAGGCCUGUGGGUUGUAAACCUCUUUCUCAAGGAAGAAGUUCUGACGGUACUUGAGGAAUCAGCAUCGGCUAACUCCGUGCCAGCAGCCGC
This 448-nucleotide ribosomal RNA is filed under the name uncultured bacterium. RNAcentral's name for it is "SSU rRNA". It matches the Rfam family "Bacterial small subunit ribosomal RNA", at positions 26 to 518 of the family's 1533-position model. The record is from RNAcentral.